Molecule: ribosomal RNA, 495 nt
Filed under: uncultured bacterium
Lineage: Bacteria
Description: bacterial SSU rRNA
Rfam family: Bacterial small subunit ribosomal RNA
Source: RNAcentral
AUGAACGCUAGCGACAGGCCUAACACAUGCAAGUCAGGGCGAGCACAAGGAGCAAUCUGAGGUGGCGACCGGCGCACGGGUGAGUAACACGUAUGCAACCUGCCUGUAAGCGGGGAAUAACCCGUUGAAAGACGGACUAAUACCGCAUAAUACUAAAUUACUGCAUGGUAAUUUAUUUAAACAUUUAUGGCUUACAGAUGGGCAUGCGCAUGAUUAGCUAGUUGGAGAGGUAACGGCUCCCCAAGGCAACGAUCAUUAGGGGUUCUGAGAGGAAGGUCCCCCACACUGGUACUGAGACACGGACCAGACUCCUACGGGAGGCAGCAGUGAGGAAUAUUGGUCAAUGGACGAGAGUCUGAACCAGCCAAGUCGCGUGCAGGAAGAAUGUUCCCUAUGGAUUGUAAACUGCUUUUGCAGGGGAAUAAAGUGCAUCACGUGUGAUGUUUUGUAUGUACUCUGCGAAUAAGGAUCGGCUAACUCCGUGCCAGCCGCUGC